RNAcentral lists this long non-coding RNA (240 nucleotides) under Capsicum annuum. RNAcentral describes it as "long non-coding RNA (CANN_LNC008802)". The record is from RNAcentral. Lineage: Eukaryota; Viridiplantae; Streptophyta; Magnoliopsida; Solanales; Solanaceae.
GCCGAAUAAAAUAAAAUUUUAACAAGUUGGACCACUUUCUUAGGGUCUCUAAAUCUUCUUCAUCCCACAACUCUCGCCGUCCGAUCUUCUUUCUCUCUCUACAUCUCUCCGUUGAAUCUAUUUCCUUCUUCUUCUUCUUCUUCUUCUUCUUCUUCUUCUUCUUCAUCUUCACUGUUACCUUGUUAUCUCAAUUUUCAGUUAUAGCUGUAUCAAACUUGUUGGUAGUAAUGGUAAUUUGUU